CAGAGUUGUGCUCUCCUGCAGCGUUUUGCGGACGGCUGGCUAUCGUACCCAGAAUCAAUCACACUGGGACACUGACAAAAAAAAAAAAAAAAGGAAAAAAGAGCGAGGGAGUAAUUCUAGCCUAUUUUUACAAGAACGCAGUGGCUAUAGACAGUGCCGGUGUGAAGAUGACUCAGCAAAAGUGGAGAACCAAAGAUUCUAGGGCAGCACCAAAACUGGGAAAGCAAUUACAGCAGAAGUUGCCUUCCCCAUGGUAGCUUAGCAACUUCGUGUCUCUCCAAGGCAGAGAGGAAAAUCAAGUCUAACAGGCCUUCCCGAAGGCUAGGUGUGAAAUGCCAGAAGCCAUCUUUGUUUCUGGCGAUGUCACUAAAUAAAUAUUUGUUGAUAUAAAGUA
This 394-nucleotide long non-coding RNA is filed under the name Pan troglodytes (chimpanzee). Its description in RNAcentral is "lincRNA". The record is from RNAcentral. Lineage: Eukaryota; Metazoa; Chordata; Mammalia; Primates; Hominidae.